This 74-nucleotide transfer RNA is filed under the name Gammaproteobacteria bacterium. Its description in RNAcentral is "tRNA-Gly". It matches the Rfam family "tRNA". From Rfam's summary of the family: Transfer RNA (tRNA) molecules are approximately 80 nucleotides in length. Their secondary structure includes four short double-helical elements and three loops (D, anti-codon, and T loops). Further hydrogen bonds mediate the characteristic L-shaped molecular structure. tRNAs have two regions of fundamental functional importance: the anti-codon, which is responsible for specific mRNA codon recognition, and the 3' end, to which the tRNAs corresponding amino acid is attached (by aminoacyl-tRNA synthetases). tRNAs cope with the degeneracy of the genetic code in two manners: having more than one tRNA (with a specific anti-codon) for a particular amino acid; and 'wobble' base-pairing, i.e. permitting non-standard base-pairing at the 3rd anti-codon position. Lineage: Bacteria; Pseudomonadati; Pseudomonadota; Gammaproteobacteria. The record is from RNAcentral.
GCGGGUGUAUUUCAAUGGUAGAAAAUCUGGUUCCCAACCAGAAAACGUGGGUCCGAUUCCCAUCACCCGCUCCA